GAAAUUCAAGUGAUCUCUCAUAUGGUCAACCUCCUACUUUCUAUCAGAUCCUGCAUUAAGGUACAUAUAUGAGCACUUGAGUCAGAGUCUAAUACCCAAGUAGAAGUAGAAGAAACCGUAAGGUUAGAUUCAAUUAUAAGCAUACUUUCAAAAGAUUUAUCAUCCUUUUUGAUCUUUAGGCUCUCCAGAUAUUUAAGACAGUUUCUCCUCCAGUGGCCUUCAGCAUAACAGUGGAAACACUUUCUCCUUGCCUCAGCC
Molecule: long non-coding RNA, 258 nt
Filed under: Elaeis guineensis (African oil palm)
Lineage: Eukaryota; Viridiplantae; Streptophyta; Magnoliopsida; Arecales; Arecaceae
Description: long non-coding RNA (EGUI_LNC043279)
Source: RNAcentral